CGGGGUGCAGCAGGCGCGAAAACUUUACAAUGCGGGAAACCGUGAUAAGGGGACACCGAGUGCCAGCAUCCUAUGCUGGCUGUCCGGGUGUGUAAAAUACACCUGUUAGCAAGGGCCGGGCAAGACCGGUGCCAGCCGCCGCGGUAACACCGGCGGCCCGAGUGGUGAUCGUGAUUAUUGGGUCUAAAGGGUCCGUAGCCGGUUUGGUCAGUCCUCCGGGAAAUCUGACAGCUUAACUGUUAGGCUUUCGGAGGAUACUGCCAGACUUGGAACCGGGAGAGGUAAGAGGUACUACAGGGGUAGGAGUGAAAUCUUGUAAUCCCUGUGGGACCACCUGUGGCGAAGGCGUCUUACCAGAACGGGUUCGACGGUGAGGGACGAAAGCUGGGGGCACGAACCGGAUUAGACACCCGGGUAGUCCCAGCCGUAAACGAUGCUCGCUAGGUGUCAGGCAUGGCGCGACCGUGUCUGGUGCCGCAGGGAAGCCGUGAAGCGAGCCACCUGGGAAGUACGGCCGCAAGGCUGAAACUUAAAGGAA
RNAcentral lists this ribosomal RNA (538 nucleotides) under uncultured archaeon. RNAcentral's name for it is "bacterial SSU rRNA". It matches the Rfam family "Archaeal small subunit ribosomal RNA", at positions 326 to 864 of the family's 1478-position model. The record is from RNAcentral.